Molecule: ribosomal RNA, 305 nt
Filed under: uncultured bacterium
Lineage: Bacteria
Description: bacterial SSU rRNA
Rfam family: Bacterial small subunit ribosomal RNA
Source: RNAcentral
UAACCUACGGGACGCAGCAGUGAGGAAUAUUGGUCAAUGGGCGGGAGCCUGAACCAGCCAAGCCGCGUGAAGGAAGAAGGCGCCAAGCGUCGUAAACUUCUUUUGUCGGGGAACAAAGGGCGCCACGUGUGGCGUUGUGAGUGUACCCGAAGAAAAAGCAUCGGCUAACUCCGUGCCAGCAGCCGCGGUAAUACGGAGGAUGCGAGCGUUAUCCGGAUUUAUUGGGUUUAAAGGGUGCGCAGGCGGCGAGUUAAGUCAGCGGUAAAAUUUCGGGGCUCAACCCCGACGAGCCGUUGAAACUGGCU